RNAcentral lists this ribosomal RNA (468 nucleotides) under uncultured bacterium. RNAcentral describes it as "partial 16S ribosomal RNA". It matches the Rfam family "Bacterial small subunit ribosomal RNA", at positions 28 to 507 of the family's 1533-position model. The record is from RNAcentral.
GACGAACGCUGGCGGCGUGCUUAACACAUGCAAGUCGAACGGAAAGGCCCGGCUUUUGCGGGGUGCUCGAGUGGCGAACGGGUGAGUAACACGCGAGUAACAUGCCCCUGUCAUUGGGAUAUAUUCAGGAAACACGGGCUAAUAUCGCAGAGGAUCUCCUGCUGCACGGUGGGGGUUGGUAAGAUUCGGCGGUUGGGGAUGGACUCGCGGCUUAUCAGCUUGUUAGUGGGGUAGUGGCUUACCAAGUCUUCGACGGGUAGGCGGCCUGAGAGGGGGAACGGGCACAAUGGGACUGAGAUACGGCGCAGACUGCAACGGGAGGCAACGGUGGAGAGUAUUGCGCAGUGAGCGGAAGCCAGAUACAACGGCGCCGCGAGCGGGAUGCCGGGCUUCGAGUUGUGAACCAAUUUGGCCUGUGCCGAGGAGUUAGUGACGGUAAUGGAUAAAAAAGCACCGGCUAACUACGUG